CGCCUGUUUAUCAAAAACAUCUCUUCUCGUUAGUUUUUGAAGUAUGGCCUGCCCACUGACCUUGAAUGUUGAAGGGCCGCGGUAUUUUGACCGUGCAAAGGUAGCAUAGUCAUUAGUUCUUUAAUUGUGAUCUGGUAUGAAUGGCUUGACGAGGCAUGAGCUGUCUUAAUUUUGAAUUGUUUAUUGAAUUUGGUCUUUGAGUUAAAAUUCUUAGAUGUUUUUAUGGGACGAGAAGACCCUAUAGAGUUUGACAUUUAUUAUGGUCUCUUUCUGUUUGUGAGGGUUCAUUAGGGCUGUCUAAUAUGUUUUGUUGGGGUGAUGGGAGGGAUAUUAUUUAACCCCUCCUUUGUGUUGUUAUAUUUAUUUAUAUUUGCUUGAUCCAUUUAUUUUGAUUGUAAGAUUAAAUUACCUUAGGGAUAACAGCGUAA
This 428-nucleotide ribosomal RNA is filed under the name Reticulitermes flavipes (eastern subterranean termite). RNAcentral's name for it is "partial 16S ribosomal RNA". It matches the Rfam family "Archaeal large subunit ribosomal RNA", at positions 1889 to 2554 of the family's 2987-position model. Lineage: Eukaryota; Metazoa; Arthropoda; Insecta; Blattodea; Rhinotermitidae. The record is from RNAcentral.